RNAcentral lists this transfer RNA (73 nucleotides) under Cordylochernes scorpioides. RNAcentral describes it as "tRNA-Thr". The record is from RNAcentral. Lineage: Eukaryota; Metazoa; Arthropoda; Arachnida; Pseudoscorpiones; Chernetidae.
GUCCAGGGGCGGGAAUCGAACCCACUACCUUCUGCUUACCGGGCAGGUGCCAUGUCCACUAGGCAACCCUGGA